CGCGGCCUAUCAGCUUGUUGGUGAGGUAACGGCUCACCAAGGCAGCGACGGGUAGCUGGUCUGAGAGGACGAUCAGCCACACUGGGACUGAGACACGGCCCAGACUCCUACGGGAGGCAGCAGCAGGGAAUAUUGCACAAUGGGCGAAAGCCUGAUGCAGCGACGCCGCGUGAGGGAUGAAGGCCCUCGGGCUGUAAACCUCUUUCAGGAGGGACGAAGCGAAAGUGACGGUACCUCCAGAAGAAGCCCCGGCCAACUACGUGCCAGCAGCCGCGGUAAUACGUAGGGGGCGAACGUUGUCCGGAUUUAUUGGGCGUAAAGAGCUCGUAGGCGGCUCAGCAAGUCGGCCGUGAAAGCCUGAGGCUCAACCUCAGGAGGCCGGUCGAAACUGCUGUGGCUAGGGUCCGGUAGAGGAGAGUGGAAUUCCCGGUGUAGCGGUGAAAUGCGCAGAUAUCGGGAGGAACACCAGUAGCGAAGGCGGCUCUCUGGGCCGGUACCGACGCUGAGGAGCGAAAGCUAGGGGAGCAAACAGGAUUAGAUACCCUGGUAGUCCUAGCCGUAAACGUUGGGCACUAGGUGUGGCGGAUUCAUUGACAUCUGCCGUGCCGAGGCUAACGCAUUAAGCGCCCCGCCUGGGGAGUACGG
RNAcentral lists this ribosomal RNA (645 nucleotides) under uncultured Actinomycetes bacterium. Its description in RNAcentral is "bacterial SSU rRNA". It matches the Rfam family "Bacterial small subunit ribosomal RNA", at positions 232 to 885 of the family's 1533-position model. The record is from RNAcentral. Lineage: Bacteria; Bacillati; Actinomycetota; Actinomycetes.